This is a long non-coding RNA of Monopterus albus (swamp eel), 398 nucleotides long. RefSeq lists it as uncharacterized. Lineage: Eukaryota; Metazoa; Chordata; Actinopteri; Synbranchiformes; Synbranchidae. The record is from RefSeq and is a predicted model, not a curated record. The transcript is spliced from 3 exons.
GACAUCACACCUGCAGGAGAGAAGACACUACAAAUAGCAGUGCUGAAAAUAGCAAGCUGGCAACAGAGAAAGAUAACCCUCUCCUUUCUUCAUCACGACCUUCUCUCCUCUACCAUGUUUCCUGCUUGCUGGUUACAGGAGGACACCAUCACGAAGCCAUGGCGUCUAACUUUAUCUUAGUCCUAGACCGUGUCUUCUUCAACCUUCUCAAGCUUCAAUCUUGUGGGGAGGAUGCUAUCUCCCCCUAACCCUGGUGUCCUGGCUCCCCCAGCAGUGGCUUUCAUGAUGUACCUCACUAGGCAGACAGCAUUUAGGGCCGAAGGACCCACAGAGCAUUUGUGCAUGUAUGUGGAUGUAACUAUGGACGUGUGUAACUAUGUUAAAAGAAUCAAUAAAGA